AAUUUUGGACAAUGGGGGAAACCCUGAUCCAGCCAUCCCGCGUGUAUGAUGAAGGCCUUCGGGUCNUAAAGUUCUGUCCUAGGGGANGAUAAUGACGGUACCUAAGGAGGAAGCCACGGCUAACUACGUGCCAGCAGCCGCGGUAAUACGUAGGUGGCGAGCGUUGUCCGGAAUUACUGGGCGUAAAGGGUGCGUAGGCGGAAUCUUAAGUCAGAUGUGAAAUCCCUGGGCUUAACCUGGGAAUGGCAUUUGAAACUGGGGUUCUAGAGUGCAGGAGAGGAAAGCGGAAUUCCUAGUGUAGCGGUGAAAUGCGUAGAUAUUAGGAAGAACACCAGUGGCGAAGGCGGCUUUCUGGACUGUAACUGACGCUGAGGCACGAAAGCGUGGGGAGCAAACAGG
RNAcentral lists this ribosomal RNA (399 nucleotides) under uncultured bacterium. Its description in RNAcentral is "partial 16S ribosomal RNA". It matches the Rfam family "Bacterial small subunit ribosomal RNA", at positions 360 to 776 of the family's 1533-position model. The record is from RNAcentral.